Molecule: ribosomal RNA, 466 nt
Filed under: uncultured bacterium
Lineage: Bacteria
Description: partial 16S ribosomal RNA
Rfam family: Bacterial small subunit ribosomal RNA
Source: RNAcentral
GACGAACGCUGGCGGCGUGCUUAACACAUGCAAGUCGAACGGUAAGGCUCCAGCUUGCUGGGGUACACGAGUGGCGAACGGGUGCGUAACACGUGGGUGACCUGCCCUGCACUUCGGUAUAAGCCUGGGAAACUGGGUCUAAUACCGGAUAGGACCAUGGUGUGGAUACUGUGGUGGAAAGUUUUUUCGGUGUGGGAUGGGCCCGCGGCCUAUCAGCUUGUUGGUGGGGUAAUGGCCUACCAAGGCGGCGACGGGUAGCCGGCCUGAGAGGGUGGACGGCCACAUUGGGACUGAGAGACGGCGCAGACGCCUACGGGAGGCAGCAGUGGGGAAUAUUGCACAAUGGGCGGAAGCCGGAUGCAGCGACGCCGCGUGGGGGAUGACGGCCUUCGGGUUGUAAACUCCUUUCACCAUCGACGAAGGGUUUCUGACGGUAGAUGGAGAAGAAGCACCGGCUAACUACGUG